This 261-nucleotide ribosomal RNA is filed under the name uncultured prokaryote. RNAcentral's name for it is "partial 16S ribosomal RNA". It matches the Rfam family "Bacterial small subunit ribosomal RNA", at positions 524 to 784 of the family's 1533-position model. The record is from RNAcentral.
UACGUAGGUGGCAAGCGUUAUCCGGAAUUAUUGGGCGUAAAGAGCGCGCAGGUGGUUGAUUAAGUCUGAUGUGAAAGCCCACGGCUCAACCGUGGAGGGUCAUUGGAAACUGGUCGACUUGAGUGCAGAAGAGGGAAGUGGAAUUCCAUGUGUAGCGGUGAAAUGCGUAGAGAUCGGGAGGAACUCCAGUGGCGAAGGCGACUUACUGGGCCGUAACUGACGCUGAUGCGCGAAAGCGUGGGGAGCGAACAGGAUUAGAUA